This is a non-coding RNA of Dipodomys ordii (Ord's kangaroo rat), 72 nucleotides long. NCBI's taxonomy places the organism in Eukaryota, Metazoa, Chordata, Mammalia, Rodentia, Heteromyidae. The record is from Rfam.
GGGAAGGUAGCUCAGUGGUAGAGUGUUUGCUUUGCAUGCAUGAGGCCCUGGGUUUGAUUCCUCAGCACCCCA